CCUACGGGAGGCAGCAGUGGGGAAUAUUGGACAAUGGGCGCAAGCCUGAUCCAGCAAUGCCGCGUGAGUGAUGAAGGCCUUAGGGUCGUAAAGCUCUUUUACCAGGGAUGAUAAUGACAGUACCUGGAGAAUAAGCUCCGGCUAACUCCGUGCCAGCAGCCGCGGUAAUACGGAGGGAGCUAGCGUUGUUCGGAAUUACUGGGCGUAAAGCGUACGUAGGCGGUUAUUCAAGUCAGAGGUGAAAGCCCGGGGCUCAACCCCGGAACGGCCUUUGAAACUAGGUAGCUAGAAUCUUGGAGAGGUCAGUGGAAUUCCGAGUGUAGAGGUGAAAUUCGUAGAUAUUCGGAAGAACACCAGUGGCGAAGGCGACUGACUGGACAAGUAUUGACGCUGAGGUACGAAAGCGUGGGGAGCAAACAGGAUUAGAUACCCUGGUAGUCCACGCCGUAAACGAUGAUAACUAGCUGUUCGGGCACUUGGUGCUUGAGUGGCGCAGCUAACGCAUUAAGUUAUCCGCCUGGGGAGUACGGUCGCAAGAUUAAAACUUAAAUGAAAUUGACGG
Molecule: ribosomal RNA, 562 nt
Filed under: uncultured bacterium
Lineage: Bacteria
Description: bacterial SSU rRNA
Rfam family: Bacterial small subunit ribosomal RNA
Source: RNAcentral